RNAcentral lists this ribosomal RNA (427 nucleotides) under uncultured cyanobacterium. RNAcentral's name for it is "bacterial SSU rRNA". It matches the Rfam family "Bacterial small subunit ribosomal RNA", at positions 66 to 526 of the family's 1533-position model. Lineage: Bacteria; Bacillati; Cyanobacteriota. The record is from RNAcentral.
ACGGUGUCUUCGGACACAGUGGCGGACGGGUGAGUAACGCGUGAGAAUCUGCCUUCAGGACGGAGACAACAGUUGGAAACGACUGCUAAGCCCCGAUGAACCGAAAGGGAAAAUAUUUAUAGCCUGAAGAUGAGCUCGCGUCCGAUUAGCUAGUUGGCGGAGUAAAAGCCCACCAAGGCGACGAUCGGUAGCUGGUCUGAGAGGACGAUCAGCCACACUGGGACUGAGACACGGCCCAGACUCCUACGGGAGGCAGCAGUGGGGAAUUUUCCGCAAUGGGCGAAAGCCUGACGGAGCAAGACCGCGUGGGGGAAGAAGGCUCUUGGGUUGUAAACCCCUUUUCUCUGGGAAGAAAGUUGUGAAAGCAACCUGACGGUACCAGAGGAAUCAGCAUCGGCUAACUCCGUGCCAGCAGCCGCGGUAAUAC